UACGGAGGGUGCAAGCGUUAUCCGGAAUCAUUGGGUUUAAAGGGUCCGUAGGCGGAUUAAUAAGUCAGUGGUGAAAUCCUAUAGCUUAACUAUAGAACUGCCAUUGAUACUGUUAGUCUUGAGUUAAAUUGAAGUGGAUAGAAUGUGUAGUGUAGCGGUGAAAUGCAUAGAUAUUACACAGAAUACCAAUUGCGAAGGCAGUUCACUAAGUUUACACUGACGCUGAUGGACGAAAGCGUGGGGAGCGAACAGG
This 253-nucleotide ribosomal RNA is filed under the name uncultured bacterium. Its description in RNAcentral is "partial 16S ribosomal RNA". It matches the Rfam family "Bacterial small subunit ribosomal RNA", at positions 524 to 776 of the family's 1533-position model. The record is from RNAcentral.